AUUGAACGCUGGCGGCAUGCCUAACACAUGCAAGUCGAGCGGAUGAAGGCAGCUUUUUCCUGGUUUCAGCGUCGGACGGGUGAGUAAUGCCUAGUAAUCUGCUUGGUAGUGGUGUAUAACGUCCUCAAACGGGCGCUACUACCACAUACGUCCUGCGCGUGCAAGUUGGUGAUCUUCGGACCUCUCGCUAUCAUAUGAGCCUAGGUCGGAUUUGCUAGUUUGUGGGGUAAAUGCCUACCAAGGCGACGAUCCGUAACUAGUCUGAGAGGAUGAUCAGUCACAAGGGAGGUGAGACACGGUCAAGGGGACUAAGGGAGGGAGCAGAGGGGAAUAGUGGACAAUGGGCGGAAACAUGAAACAAUGGGGGCACGUGUGUGAAGAAAGUAUUCGGAUUGUAAAGCACUUUAAGGGGGGAGGAAGGGCAGUAAGUUAAUACCUUGCUGGAGUGACGUUAACAACAAAAGAAGCACCGGCUAACUUCGUG
RNAcentral lists this ribosomal RNA (484 nucleotides) under uncultured bacterium. Its description in RNAcentral is "partial 16S ribosomal RNA". It matches the Rfam family "Bacterial small subunit ribosomal RNA", at positions 30 to 507 of the family's 1533-position model. The record is from RNAcentral.